GAAAGCCUGACGGAGCAAUACCGCGUGAGGGAGGAAGGCUCUUGGGUUGUAAACCUCUUUUCUCAGGGAAGAAAAAAAUGACGGUACCUGAGGAAUAAGCAUCGGCUAACUCCGUGCCAGCAGCCGCGGUAAUACGGAGGAUGCAAGCGUUAUCCGGAAUGAUUGGGCGUAAAGCGUCCGCAGGUGGCUAUGUAAGUCUGCUGUUAAAGAGUCUAGCUCAACUAGAUAAAGGCGGUAGAAACUACAAGGCUAGAGUACGUUCGGGGCAGAGGGAAUUCCUAGUGUAGCGGUGAAAUGCGUAGAGAUUAGGAAGAACACCAGUGGCGAAGGCGCUCUGCUAGGCCGUAACUGACACUGAGGGACGAAAGCUAG
RNAcentral lists this ribosomal RNA (372 nucleotides) under uncultured cyanobacterium. Its description in RNAcentral is "bacterial SSU rRNA". It matches the Rfam family "Bacterial small subunit ribosomal RNA", at positions 377 to 763 of the family's 1533-position model. The record is from RNAcentral. Lineage: Bacteria; Bacillati; Cyanobacteriota.